GAAAUGCUGAUGAUCAAGCAAGUAGUAAAUACCAAUGCUGAUAAGAGAGGGAAAAUCAAGGGCUGAAAGUUUUCCUGCAGUAUGUAUGAUGCGAAUAACACUUGGGAGGCUUUUUCCUGAAAAAACAAACGUUUAGUAGGGAAAGACGGAAUCGGCCGUUAUCCGAUUACGAGGUGGAUGCCAUUGUGCAUCAACUAGGGUGGAACCGCGGAAGUUACAGCUUUCGUCCCUUGC
Molecule: non-coding RNA, 234 nt
Filed under: Lysinibacillus odysseyi
Lineage: Bacteria; Bacillati; Bacillota; Bacilli; Caryophanales; Bacillaceae
Description: T-box sequence
Rfam family: T-box leader
About the family: Uncharged tRNA acts as the effector for transcription antitermination of genes in the T-box leader family. T-boxes are found upstream of many aminoacyl-tRNA synthetase genes and some amino acid biosynthetic genes usually in Gram-positive bacteria. The anticodon of a specific tRNA base pairs to a specifier sequence within the T-box motif, and the NCCA acceptor tail of the tRNA base pairs to a conserved bulge in the T-box antiterminator hairpin.
Source: RNAcentral